UACGUAGGAUGCAAGCGUUGUCCGGAAUUAUUGGGCGUAAAGAGCGCGCAGGCGGUUUUACAAGUCAGAUGUGAAAGAGGCCGGCUUAACCGGCAAGGGUCAUUUGAAACUGUAAGACUAGAGUGCGGCAGAGGAUAGUGGAAUUCCCGGUGUAGUGGUGAAAUGCGUAGAUAUCGGGAGGAACACCAGUGGCGAAGGCGACUAUCUGGGCUGCAACUGACGCUGAGGCGCGAAGGCUAGGGUAGCAAACAGG
Molecule: ribosomal RNA, 253 nt
Filed under: uncultured prokaryote
Description: partial 16S ribosomal RNA
Rfam family: Bacterial small subunit ribosomal RNA
Source: RNAcentral